GCAGUCGAGCGAGCGGAACCACAGAUUUACUUCGGUAAUGACGUUGGGAAAGCGAGCGGCGGAUGGGUGAGUAACACGUGGGGAACCUGCCCCUAAGUCUGGGAUACCAUUUGGAAACAGGUGCUAAUACCGGAUAAUAAAGCAGAUCGCAUGAUCAGCUUUUGAAAGGCGGCGUAAGCUGUCGCUAAGGGAUGGCCCCGCGGUGCAUUAGCUAGUUGGUAAGGUAACGGCUUACCAAGGCGACGAUGCAUAGCCGAGUUGAGAGACUGAUCGGCCACAUUGGGACUGAGACACGGCCCAAACUCCUACGGGAGGCAGCAGUAGGGAAUCUUCCACAAUGGACGCAAGUCUGAUGGAGCAACGCCGCGUGAGUGAAGAAGGUUUUCGGAUCGUAAAGCUCUGUUGUUGGUGAAGAAGGAUAGAGGUAGUAACUGGCCUUUAUUUGACGGUAAUCAACCAGAAAGUCACGGCUAACUACGUGCCAGCAGCCGCGGUAAUACGUAGGUGGCAAGCGUCGUCCGGAUUUAUUGGGCGUAAAGCGAGCGCAGGCGGAAAAAUAAGUCUAAUGUGAAAGCCCUCGGCUUAACCGAGGAACUGCAUCGGAAACUGUUUUUCUUGAGUGCAGAAGAGGAGAGUGGAACUCCAUGUGUAGCGGUGGAAUGCGUAGAUAUAUGGAAGAACACCAGUGGCGAAGGCGGCUCUCUGGUCUGCAACUGACGCUGAGGCUCGAAAGCAUGGGUAGCGAACAGGAUUAGAUACCCUGGUAGUCCAUGCCGUAAACGAUGAGUGCUA
Molecule: ribosomal RNA, 792 nt
Filed under: uncultured bacterium
Lineage: Bacteria
Description: bacterial SSU rRNA
Rfam family: Bacterial small subunit ribosomal RNA
Source: RNAcentral